Non-coding RNA from Candidatus Giovannonibacteria bacterium, 71 nucleotides. The record is from Rfam. NCBI's taxonomy places the organism in Bacteria, Candidatus Giovannoniibacteriota.
GGGCCAUUAGCUUAGUGGUAGAGCACCCGGUUUGCAUCCGGGAGAUAAGGGUUCGAUUCCCUUAUGGUCCA